AGCUUUGCUGCAUGGUAGGAGAGCGUUCUAAGGGCGGUGAAGCCGGACCGUAAGGACCGGUGGAGCGCUUAGAAGUGAGAAUGCCGGUAUGAGUAGCGAAAGACAGGUGAGAAUCCUGUCCACCGAAUGACUAAGGUUUCCUGGGGAAGGCUCGUCCUCCCAGGGUUAGUCGGGACCUAAGCUGAGGCCGAGAGGCGUAGGCGAUGGACAACGGGUUGAUAUUCCCGUACCGGUCUGAUUUGUUUGAGCAAUGGAGGGACGCAGGAGGCUAACGAUGCGCACUAUCGGAUGUGCGUCCAAGCAGCAAGUCUGUCGGCGAGUCAAAUGCUUGCCGGCUCAAGGACAAGCUGUGACGGGUAUGAACGAUUUAUCGUUCUAAGUGAGUGACGUCACACUGCCAAGAAAAGCUUCUAGUUAGAAUCAGACCGCCCGUACCGCAAACCGACACAGGUAGUCGGGUCGAGAAGACCAAGGUGAGCGAGAGAACUCUCGUUAAGGAACUCGGCAAAAUGACCCCGUAACUUCGGGAGAAGGGGUGCUGAUCGCAAGAUCAGCCGCAGUGAAUAGGCCCAGGCGACUGUUUAUCAAAAACACAGGUUUCUGCAAAAUCGUAAGAUGAAGUAUAGGGGCUGACGCCUGCCCGGUGCUGGAAGGUUAAGAGGAUGGGUUAGCGCAAGCGAAGCUCAGAAUUGAAGCCCCAGUAAACGGCGGCCGUAACAAUAACGGUCCUAAGGUAGCGAAAUUCCUUGUCGGGUAAGUUCCGACCCGCACGAAAGGCGUAACGAUCUGGGCACUGUCUCAACGAGAGACUCGGUGAAAUUAUAAUACCCGUGAAGAUGCGGGUUACCCGCGACAGGACGGAAAGACCCCAUGGAGCUUUACUGUAGCUUGAUAUUGGGUGUUUGUACAACUUGUACAGGAUAGGUAGGAGCCGUAGAAGUCGGGACGCUAGUUUCGACGGAGGCAUCGGAGGGAUACUACCCUCGUUGUAUGAACACUCUAACCCACGCCGGCAAUCACGGCGGGAGACAGUGUCAGGUGGGCAGUUUGACUGGGGCGGUCGCCUCCUAAAAGGUAACGGAGGCGCCCAAAGGUUCCCUCAGAAUGGUUGGAAAUCAUUCGCAGAGUGUAAAGGCAUAAGGGAGCUUGACUGCGAGACCUACAAGUCGAGCAGGGACGAAAGUCGGGCUUAGUGAUCCGGUGGUUCCGCAUGGAAGGGCCAUCGCUCAACGGAUAAAAGCUACCCUGGGGAUAACAGGCUUAUCUCCCCCAAGAGUCCACAUCGACGGGGAGGUUUGGCACCUCGAUGUCGGCUCAUCGCAUCCUGGGGCUGUAGUCGGUCCCAAGGGUUGGGCUGUUCGCCCAUUAAAGCGGUACGCGAGCUGGGUUCAGAACGUCGUGAGACAGUUCGGUCCCUAUCCGUCGCGGGCGCAGGAAAUUUGAGAGGAUCUGUCCUUAGUACGAGAGGACCGGGAUGGACAUACCGCUGGUGUACCAGUUGUUCUGCCAAGGGCAUCGCUGGGUAGCUAUGUAUGAUGAGAUAAACGCUGAAAGCAUCUAAGUGCGAAACUCACCUCGAGAUGAGAUUUCCCACUCCUUUAUGGAGUUAAGACCCCUGAGAGAUGAUCAGGUAGAUAGGAUGGAAGUGGAAGUGCGGCGACGCAUGGAGCGGACCAUUACUAAUCGGUCGAGGACUUAACC
Molecule: ribosomal RNA, 1701 nt
Filed under: metagenome
Description: bacterial LSU rRNA
Rfam family: Bacterial large subunit ribosomal RNA
Source: RNAcentral